GUUCCUCUCAAUUUCCAUUUCAUACUCCCAUGUAAUAAUGCUAUGUCUUUAGAAAAUUGAGUGAUUUAUGUUUUUAUCAUUACACAGAUGAUGCUGCUGAAUUACAUCAGUGCGAUGAACCCUAAUAAAUCCAAACCCACAACACAAACACAUACUACAUCUGAUCUCACUAAAGAACAAAUCAGUACUGACCCAAUAAAAAUAAGGUUUUUGAUACACCUAUAACUGAUAAUAUCAGUGCAAAAACACGUGCAACCAGAGCCAGCUUACCUACUGAUACUCUUGUCCCUUUUUCUGUUUUAUCAGUUAUCACGCUCUUAUAACACACAGACAUUGAGGACUUCAGCUCAGGGAGACAUCUGAGUGUGCUUUGCACUUCCUUGGGAUUUAACAUCAGAGCAACUAUAGGAUGUGUACAAAUAUGCACACCCAUACACACACAGAUGCACAAAGACUGAUGGCCAUCAGGGUGGGACGGCCCUCUGUGUCUGACAUCAACGCUAAUGAAAACUAUAAGCACCAACAAUUAACAGUGCAGAUAUCAUUGUUCUCACACUUCCUCACACAGUGAGUGAGAAGGACUCUUCAUAUAAAACCCAUUUGAGUUUCUGCCAGUAAGGAGAGUCAUUGCAGUGAACUUAACAGAGGAUCCGAAGAAACCUAAACGCCACCAAAAACAACAGCUGGGUUGAUUAGAGAAAAAGGCUACAUUUGGUCACAGAAAAGCACUGCUGGAUGUGAAGAUUUACGCCGCAGUCGUCAGUGUUUGUGUGAUGGUUGGGCUGUUUGACACCAGAGAGACAGCCAACGUUUACCCAGAACUCCGAGCAGCAGCAGGUGUGUUCAACAAACAGGAAUGUUUCAUUUUACCCUUCUCUACUCUAACUAGACGGCACUGACCUCUUGUUCCUUUCUCUUUCAGAUGCAUGGGAGGGCCAUCUGCCGUGUGGAAGCUAGAACUGUGAGUACGCAUCCAGGCAGCAGAGUUGCUGUUGUGCACAGAUGGAUGAGCUUGAGGAGCAAAUGUUUACUCGCCUCUUGAACAUCUUCAGUGCAC
Molecule: long non-coding RNA, 1057 nt
Organism: Cyprinus carpio carpio
Lineage: Eukaryota; Metazoa; Chordata; Actinopteri; Cypriniformes; Cyprinidae
Source: Ensembl